CACCACGCCCCAUGCUCCAGAAUAGCUCUUGGAAACGGGUGGUAAUGCUGGAUGCUCCAACUUGACGCAUGUCUUGUUGGGAAAGUGUUUAGUGGCAUGGGAUGGGGUCGCGUCCUAUCAGCUUGUAGGCGGGGUAAUGGCCCACCUAGGCUUCGACGGGUAGCCGGCCUGAGAGGGCGGACGGCCACAUUGGGACUGAGAUACGGCCCAGACUCCUACGGGAGGCAGCAGC
RNAcentral lists this ribosomal RNA (232 nucleotides) under uncultured Gardnerella sp. RNAcentral describes it as "partial 16S ribosomal RNA". It matches the Rfam family "Bacterial small subunit ribosomal RNA", at positions 122 to 355 of the family's 1533-position model. The record is from RNAcentral. Lineage: Bacteria; Bacillati; Actinomycetota; Actinomycetes; Bifidobacteriales; Bifidobacteriaceae.